CUACAGGCUUAACACAUGCAAGUCGAGGGGCAGCAUGGUCUUAGCUUGCUAAGGCCGAUGGCGACCGGCGCACGGGUGAGUAACACGUAUCCAACCUGCCGUCUACUCUUGGACAGCCUUCUGAAAGGAAGAUUAAUACAAGAUGGCAUCAUGAGUCCGCAUGUUCACAUGAUUAAAGGUAUUCCGGUAGACGAUGGGGAUGCGUUCCAUUAGAUAGUAGGCGGGGUAACGGCCCACCUAGUCUUCGAUGGAUAGGGGUUCUGAGAGGAAGGUCCCCCACAUUGGAACUGAGACACGGUCCAAACUCCUACGGGAGGCAGCAGUGAGGAAUAUUGGUCAAUGGGCGAGAGCCUGAACCAGCCAAGUAGCGUGAAGGAUGACUGCCCUAUGGGUUGUAAACUUCUUUUAUAAAGGAAUAAAGUCGGGUAUGGAUACCCGUUUGCAUGUACUUUAUGAAUAAGGAUCGGCUAACUCCGUGCCAGCAGCCGCGGUAAUACGGAGGAUCCGAGCGUUAUCCGGAUUUAUUGGGUUUAAAGGGAGCGUAGAUGGAUGUUUAAGUCAGUUGUGAAAGUUUGCGGCUCAACCGUAAAAUUGCAGUUGAUACUGGAUAUCUUGAGUGCAGUUGAGGCAGGCGGAAUUCGUGGUGUAGCGGUGAAAUGCUUAGAUAUCACGAAGAACUCCGAUUGCGAAGGCAGCCUGCUAAGCUGCAACUGACAUUGAGGCUCGAAAGUGUGGGUAUCAAACAGGAUUAGAUACCCUGGUAGUCCACACGGUAAACGAUGAAUACUCGCUGUUUGCGAUAUACUGCAAGCGGCCAAGCGAAAGCGUUAAGUAUUCCACCUGGGGAGUACGCCGGCAACGGUGAAACUCAAAGGAAUUGACGGGGGCCCGCACAAGCGGAGGAACAUGUGGUUUAAUUCGAUGAUACGCGAGGAACCUUACCCGGGCUUAAAUUGCAGAUGAAUUACGGUGAAAGCCGUAAGCCGCAAGGCAUCUGUGAAGGUGCUGCAUGGUUGUCGUCAGCUCGUGCCGUGAGGUGUCGGCUUAAGUGCCAUAACGAGCGCAACCCUUGUUGUCAGUUACUAACAGGUUCCGCUGAGGACUCUGACAAGACUGCCAUCGUAAGAUGUGAGGAAGGUGGGGAUGACGUCAAAUCAGCACGGCCCUUACGUCCGGGGCUACACACGUGUUACAAUGGGGGGUACAGAGGGCCGCUACCACGCGAGUGGAUGCCAAUCCCCAAAACCUCUCUCAGUUCGGACUGGAGUCUGCAACCCGACUCCACGAAGCUGGAUCCGCUAGUAAUCGCGCAUCAGCCACGGCGCGGUGAAUACGUUCCCGGGCCUUGUACACACCGCCCGUCAAGCCAUGGGAGCCGGGGGUACCUGAAGUGCGUAACCGCGAGGAGCGCCCUAGGGUAAAACUGGUGACUGGGGCUAAAU
Molecule: ribosomal RNA, 1442 nt
Filed under: uncultured organism
Description: SSU rRNA
Rfam family: Bacterial small subunit ribosomal RNA
Source: RNAcentral